This 792-nucleotide ribosomal RNA is filed under the name uncultured bacterium. RNAcentral's name for it is "bacterial SSU rRNA". It matches the Rfam family "Bacterial small subunit ribosomal RNA", at positions 8 to 796 of the family's 1533-position model. The record is from RNAcentral.
AGAGUUUGAUCCUGGCUCAGAACGAACGCUGGCGGCGUGCUUAACACAUGCAAGUCGCGUGCGCAGUUGCCGUAGCAAUACGGUGAUGGGCGCACGGCGCACGGGUGCGUAACACGUGGGCAAUCUGCCCUCUGAUGGGGAAUAACCCGCCGAAAGGCGGGCUAAUUCCGCAUAAGAUUCCCGGAACUUCGGUUCUGGGAUUGAAAGCAGUAAUGCGUCGGAGGAGGAGCCCGCGCCCGAUUAGCCAGUUGGUGAGGUAACGGCUCACCAAGGCUAUGAUCGGUAGCUGGUCUGAGAGGAUGAUCAGCCACACUGGAACUGAGACACGGUCCAGACUCCUACGGGAGGCAGCAGUGGGGAAUCUUGCACAAUGGGCGAAAGCCUGAUGCAGCGACGCCGCGUGGGGGAUGAAGCAUUUCGGUGUGUAAACCCCUUUCGACUGGGAAGAAUGCCUCGCAAGAGGAGUGACGGUACCAGUAGAAGAAGCCCCGGCUAACUACGUGCCAGCAGCCGCGGUAAGACGUAGGGGGCCAGCGUUGUUCGGAAUUACUGGGUGUAAAGGGUUCGUAGGCGGUGCGGCAAGUUGGGAGUGAAAUCUCUGGGCUUAACCCAGAGGCUGCUUCCAAAACUGCUGUGCUCGAGUGUGAGAGAGGCUCGUGGAAUUGCAGGUGUAGCGGUGAAAUGCGUAGAUAUCUGCAGGAACACCCGUGGCGAAAGCGGCGAGCUGGAUCACUACUGACGCUGAGGAACGAAAGCUAGGGGAGCAAACAGGAUUAGAUACCCUAGUAGUCC